GUCUACGGCCACGCCACCCUGAGCGAGCCCGAUCCCGUCUGAUCUCGGAAGCUAAGCGGGGUUGGGCCUGGUUAGUACUUGGAUGGGAGACCACCUAGGAAGACCAGGUGCUGUAGGCA
Pteropus alecto (black flying fox) is the source of this 119-nucleotide non-coding RNA. The record is from Rfam. Lineage: Eukaryota; Metazoa; Chordata; Mammalia; Chiroptera; Pteropodidae.